RNAcentral lists this ribosomal RNA (398 nucleotides) under uncultured bacterium. RNAcentral describes it as "bacterial SSU rRNA". It matches the Rfam family "Bacterial small subunit ribosomal RNA", at positions 954 to 1372 of the family's 1533-position model. The record is from RNAcentral.
GCACAACGCGAAGAACCUUACCAACCCUUGACAUGUGUAUCGCGGUUCCAGAGAUGGUUCCUUCAGUUCGGCUGGAUACAACACAGGUGCUGCAUGGCUGUCGUCAGCUCGUGUCGUGAGAUGUUCGGUUAAGUCCGGCAACGAGCGCAACCCACACUUUCAGUUGCCAUCAUUCAGUUGGGCACUCUGGAAGAACUGCCGGUGAUAAGCCGGAGGAAGGUGUGGAUGACGUCAAGUCCUCAUGGCCCGUUACGGGUUGGGCUACACACGUGCUACAAUGGUGGUGACAAUGGGUUAAUCCCCAAAAGCCAUCUCAGUUCGGAUUGGGGUCUGCAACUCGACCCCAUGAAGUCGGAAUCGCUAGUAAUCGCGUAACAGCAUGACGCGGUGAAUACGUU